UUGUGAAGCCAUCGUAUUUAU
Caenorhabditis elegans is the source of this 21-nucleotide non-coding RNA. NCBI's taxonomy places the organism in Eukaryota, Metazoa, Nematoda, Chromadorea, Rhabditida, Rhabditidae. The record is from Ensembl.